Molecule: long non-coding RNA, 1995 nt
Organism: Canis lupus familiaris (dog)
Lineage: Eukaryota; Metazoa; Chordata; Mammalia; Carnivora; Canidae
Exons: 8
Source: RefSeq, a predicted model, not a curated record
CCUGAGAUCAUGACCUAAGCCAGAGGCAGACUCUUAACCUACUGUGCAACCCAGGUGCCCCAGGCAUGGAAACUUUUUAUUGAAAUUCUUUUGCUCAUAAACGUAAGGAGAAAAUGCUUAUAUGAUUUCUCUAUAUCUUUGUAAAAUCAGACUAGGAAUCCUGACCCAGACAUGAAUAUCUUCCCCUGGACGGUAUUCAGAACUGUCACUGUGGUAGCUGAUAUUAAUAAGCCAUUCGUUUUUCUUUAUAAAAACUGAGCAACUGCCAUUAGAUUCAUUUGGGGCCAAAGUAGGUAAUGAAAUAAAGCCUUCCCAAGCUUUUCCUAUGGAUGGCAACUAAGCUAUUCAGUACUGCUUGCGCUACAGCAGAAAUAGGAAACAUUAGUCAUAUCCUCCCGAGUACUGCGCCCCUCCUAUUCCCUACUCCCACCCUGCCUACCGCUGCCCAUCACAGUGUCAUCACUGCAGAAGCAUUAGUCAUGCCAUCUGAGAAAAUGUAGUUCCUAAGCUCUGGUUUUGGAUUGCAUUCAUGGGUGGGGUGAGGUGGGGCUUCCUGAAUAAUUAACUAAAGCCUCUUUGUAGCUCCUUUAAAAAGAACUGGUAUAAUUUCGGAGGAUGAAAAAGGGCAGGUGGAACUUAUGAUCUAACGAUUAAUGCUGCAAACCCAGAAACUGGAGACUGUGUUAUGGUCCUCUGGGAGGGACCUAAAAGCUUGGAGAAAAAUACACUACCAACUGAACUACCAUUACUGAACUGGUGGAUCUCCAAAGGGACAGUCACUCCAUCACUGUUCUUGGCUGUUUUCAUGGAGAAGCAGAAGUCUCCAUAUUUAAGGAUGAGUUUCCCAGCCAGGAAGAUACAACUAAGUCUACUGUUUGGUGAGUAGGUGAAAAGGAAACUGGGAGACCAUUUAGAAGUGUCUGCACAGGACCUGAAGUGCUAAGUAGUGAUUUCAACCAAAGAGGAGAGGGCAUUGAAGCCUACAAGGCUUCCUGGACACUGAACUGGAGAGACAGCAGGGGCGAUGCCGUGUGAAAUCUGGGCUUCCCCCUAAGCCAGGAGUCUGCACAGUGCUAAAGCGUUCAUGGGAAUUGGGGAGAGGCUGUGAGUAAGCGGUGGAAGAUGGAUCAAACACUGGGAUUGGUCUUACGCUUCUCAGUGCAUUGGGAUUCUAAAACGCUUUAAUUGUCCAGAAAAGCAGCUUGUUCUGCUAAUCUGUACAUUGUUCCUUGUGUCUGAAUGGGCCUUGACAACUCCCUUAUCUAUCUGGAGAAAUUCUGUGCAUCCUUUAGGACUCGUUCAACCGUCCUUUCUUCCAACAAGGCAUCUUUAGCCCCUCAUCUAGAUUCCAGAAGCUGCAUGAGAAGUCUUUUUGGUCCCAACAUUCAGCGUUCUACAAAGGACGAAUGGCCAAACGCAAUUAGCAGAGAGGCAUACCGAAUGGCAGGAUCCAUUUGCCAGUCUUGGAAACUCUUUUCAACCUCAGAGUUCCUCUGAAUGAUAAUUCUCUCUGUGACUACCAAAGGCACAGGCAUUAAGGCAAAGAGGAGCAAGGUAGAAAGCCAGCAGGGGACUGGCCGAGGAACAGCGUUAGCAGGGACAGGGCCUGGCUGCCUGCUCUGGUUAGAUGGUGACCGACUUCCUUUGGACAAGUGUGGCUUGUACCCAUGGCCUGUGUAACAGCCCCACCGCCCACCUGUCAUCCCAGAAGUGUCACCAGUGCUCCCUGUCACCUCAAGAGUUGCCUGGACUUUGUGGGAUGGCUAUACCAGACAUAAAAAAAUGGAACCCACAUGGCUCUACCUACGCAAGUGUAUACCCUUCAUAGCCUGCAGAAGUACUGACAUGAAAAAUCUCCUUAACCAAUAAAAACAGAGCAGCAAACAGAAGAAACUAAAGUGAACUACUUUUAAAUGUAUGUAUGUGCAUCCAGAAUUAGUUGGUUUGAUUUAUCUUGUAUGAUACUGACUCUAUUGCUGGUAAAGAUUAAUUGUA